Chiloscyllium plagiosum (whitespotted bambooshark) is the source of this 101-nucleotide non-coding RNA. The record is from RefSeq and is a predicted model, not a curated record. NCBI's taxonomy places the organism in Eukaryota, Metazoa, Chordata, Chondrichthyes, Orectolobiformes, Hemiscylliidae.
UGUGGAGAAACUUAGUUCGGGCACAUUUAGAAAAUUGUGUACAGUACUGGUUGCCACACCAGCAGAACGAUGUGGAAGUAUUGGAGAGUUUAGAUUAGAUU